Molecule: ribosomal RNA, 589 nt
Filed under: uncultured bacterium
Lineage: Bacteria
Description: bacterial SSU rRNA
Rfam family: Bacterial small subunit ribosomal RNA
Source: RNAcentral
CCUACGGGAGGCAGCAGUAGGGAAUUUUCCGCAAUGGGCGAAAGCCUGACGGAGCAAUACCGCGUGAGGGAUGACGGCCUGUGGGUUGUAAACCUCUUUUCUCAAGGAAGAAGUUCUGACGGUACUUGAGGAAUAAGCAUCGGCUAACUCUGUGCCAGCAGCCGCGGUAAUACAGAGGAUGCAAGCGUUAUCCGGAAUCACUGGGCAUAAAGCGUCUGUAGGUUGUUUAGUAAGUCUGCUGUUAAAGACUGGGGCUUAACCCCAGAAAAGCAGUGGAAACUGCUAGACUCGAGUGUGGUAGAGGUAGAGGGAAUUCCUAGUGCAGCGGUGAAAUGCGUAGAUAUUAGGAAGAACACCAAUGGCGAAGGCACUCUACUGGGCCAUAACUGACACUGAGAGACGACAGCUAGGGGAGCAAACGGGAUUAGAUACCCCGGUAGUCCUAGCCGUAAACGAUGGAUACUAGAUGUUGCACGUAUUAACCCGUGCAGUAUCGUAGCUAAGGCGUUAAGUAUCCCGCCUGGGAAGUACGCUCGCAAGAGAGANACAAGAGAGAGCGNGNGAGNGCGACGACGACGACGAGGAGGAG